AGAGUUUGAUCCUGGCUCAGAUUGAACGCUGGCGGCAUGCCUUACACAUGCAAGUCGAGCGGCAGCGCGGGGGCAACCCUGGCGGCGAGCGGCGCACGGGUGAGUAAUGCAUCGGAACGUGUCCUCUUGUGGGGGAUAACCAGUCGAAAGACUGGCUAAUACCGCAUGAGAUCGCGAGAUGAAAGCAGGGGACCGCAAGGCCUUGCGCGAGAGGAGCGGCCGAUGCCGGAUUAGCUAGUUGGUGGGGUAACGGCCCACCAAGGCGACGAUCCGUAGCUGGUCUGAGAGGACGACCAGCCACACUGGGACUGAGACACGGCCCAGACUCCUACGGGAGGCAGCAGUGGGGAAUUUUGGACAAUGGGGGCAACCCUGAUCCAGCCAUGCCGCGUGUGUGAAGAAGGCCUUCGGGUUGUAAAGCACUUUCGGCCGGAACGAAAUCGCGCGAUCUAAUAAGUCGCGUGGAUGACGGUACCGGAAGAAGAAGCACCGGCUAACUACGUGCCAGCAGCCGCGGUAAUACGUAGGGUGCGAGCGUUAAUCGGAAUUACUGGGCGUAAAGUGUGCGCAGGCGGCCGCGCAAGUCGAGUGUGAAAGCCCCGAGCUUAACUUGGGAAUUGCGCUCGAAACUACGUGGCUGGAGUGUGGCAGAGGAAGGUGGAAUUCCAGGUAGCGGUGAAAUGCGUAGAGAUCUGGAGGAACACCGAUGGCGAAGGCAGCCUUCUGGGCCAACACUGACGCUCAUGCACGAAAGCGUGGGGAGCAAACAGGAUUAGAUACCCUAGUAGUCC
This 791-nucleotide ribosomal RNA is filed under the name uncultured bacterium. RNAcentral's name for it is "bacterial SSU rRNA". It matches the Rfam family "Bacterial small subunit ribosomal RNA", at positions 8 to 796 of the family's 1533-position model. The record is from RNAcentral.